CCUACGGGGUGCAGCAGUGAGGAAUAUUGGUCAAUGGACGAGAGUCUGAACCAGCCAAGUAGCGUGAAGGAUGACUGCCCUAUGGGUUGUAAACUUCUUUUAUAUGGGAAUAAAAUGUUCCACGUGUGGGAUUUUGUAUGUACCAUAUGAAUAAGGAUCGGCUAACUCCGUGCCAGCAGCCGCGGUAAUACGGAGGAUCCGAGCGUUAUCCGGAUUUAUUGGGUUUAAAGGGAGCGUAGGUGGAUUGUUAAGUCAGUUGUGAAAGUUUGCGGCUCAACCGUAAAAUUGCAGUUGAAACUGGCAGUCUGGAGUACAGUAGAGGUGGGCGGAAUUCGUGGUGUAGCGGUGAAAUGCUUAGAUAUCACGAAGAACUCCGAUUGCGAAGGCAGCUCACUGGACUGCAACUGACACUGAGGCUCGAAAGUGUGGGUAUCAAACAGGAUUAGAUACCCCAGUAGUC
RNAcentral lists this ribosomal RNA (460 nucleotides) under uncultured bacterium. RNAcentral's name for it is "partial 16S ribosomal RNA". It matches the Rfam family "Bacterial small subunit ribosomal RNA", at positions 338 to 795 of the family's 1533-position model. The record is from RNAcentral.